AUUGAACGCUGGCGGCAGGCCUAACACAUGCAAGUCGAACGGCAGCGGGGGAUAGCUUGCUAUCCUGCCGGCGAGUGGCGGACGGGUGAGUAAUGCAUGGGGAGCUGCCCAGUCGAGGGGGAUAACAACUGGAAACGGUUGCUAAUACCGCAUACGCCCUACGGGGGAAAGGUGGGGAACUUCGGUCGUACCGCGAUUGGAUGCGCCCAUGUGGGAUUAGCUAGGUGGUGAGGUAACGGCGCACCAAGGCGACGAUCUCUAGCUGGUCUGAGGGCAAGACCGGCCACCCUGGAACCUAGACACGGUCCAGACUACGACGGGAGGCAGCGGUGGGGAAUAUUGCACAAUGGUGGAAACCCUAAUGCAGCCAUGCUGCUUGUGUGAAGAAGUCCUUCGGGUUGUAAAGCGCGUUCAGUGAGGAGGAAGGGGUGAUGGCUAAUAUCCAUCAUCAUUGACGUUACUGACAGAAGAAGCACCGGCUAACUCCGUGCCAGCCGCCGCCGUAA
RNAcentral lists this ribosomal RNA (506 nucleotides) under uncultured bacterium. Its description in RNAcentral is "partial 16S ribosomal RNA". It matches the Rfam family "Bacterial small subunit ribosomal RNA", at positions 29 to 523 of the family's 1533-position model. The record is from RNAcentral.